CAGCCGUAAACAAUGUGCGUUAGGUGUGUCGGUAACCACGCGUUACUGAUGCGCCGAAGAGAAAUCGUGAAACGCACCACCUGGGAAGUACGGUCGCAAGGCUGAAACUUAAAGGAAUUGGCGGGGGAGCACCACAACAGGUGGAGCCUGCGGUUCAAUUGGAUUCAACGCCGGACAUCUCACCGGAUAAGACAGCUGAAUGAUUGUCAAUCUGAAGGUUUUACAUGACUAGCUGAGAGGAGGUGCAUGGCGUCAGUGACU
RNAcentral lists this ribosomal RNA (261 nucleotides) under uncultured archaeon. RNAcentral's name for it is "partial 16S ribosomal RNA". It matches the Rfam family "Archaeal small subunit ribosomal RNA", at positions 748 to 1008 of the family's 1478-position model. The record is from RNAcentral.